AACGAACGCUGGCGGCAUGCCUAACACAUGCAAGUCGAACGAGACCUUCGGGUCUAGUGGCGCACGGGUGCGUAACACGUGGGAAUCUGCCCUUUGCUUCGGAAUAACAGUUAGAAAUGACUGCUAAUACCGGAUGAUGUCUAAAGACCAAAGAUUUAUCGGCAAAGGAUGAGCCCGCGUAGGAUUAGGUAGUUGGUGGGGUAAAGGCCUACCAAGCCGACGAUCCUUAGCUGGUCUGAGAGGAUGAUCAGCCACACUGGGACUGAGACACGGCCCAGACUCCUACGGGAGGCAGCAGUGGGGAAUAUUGGACAAUGGGCGAAAGCCUGAUCCAGCAAUGCCGCGUGAGUGAUGAAGGCCUUAGGGUUGUAAAGCUCUUUUACCAGGGAUGAUAAUGACAGUACCUGGAGAAUAAGCGCCGGCUAACUCCGUG
RNAcentral lists this ribosomal RNA (433 nucleotides) under uncultured bacterium. RNAcentral describes it as "partial 16S ribosomal RNA". It matches the Rfam family "Bacterial small subunit ribosomal RNA", at positions 29 to 507 of the family's 1533-position model. The record is from RNAcentral.